Molecule: ribosomal RNA, 314 nt
Filed under: uncultured bacterium
Lineage: Bacteria
Description: bacterial SSU rRNA
Rfam family: Bacterial small subunit ribosomal RNA
Source: RNAcentral
AACGAAUGCUAGCGGCAGGCUUAACACAUGCAAGUCGAACGGUUUGGUCUCCUCGGAGACCAGAUAGUGGCGAACGGGUGAGUAACACAUGGGAACGUGCCCUUAGGUCAGGAAUAACGUUCGGGAAACUGAAGGUAUACCUGAUACCUUCCAUGUCAAUUGGCAUUGAAGAAAGGCUCGCAAGAGUCGCCUAUGGAUCGGCCCGUGCUCGAUUAGACUGGUUGGUGAGGUAAAAGCUCACCAAAUCUACGAUCGAUAGCUGGUCUGAGAGGAUGAUCAGCCACACCUGGGACUGAGAUACGGCCCAGGACUCC